This is a non-coding RNA of Mycena metata, 98 nucleotides long. The record is from the annotation of a GenBank genome assembly. NCBI's taxonomy places the organism in Eukaryota, Fungi, Basidiomycota, Agaricomycetes, Agaricales, Mycenaceae.
GCCCGUAUAGAUCAACACUAGAUCAUCUCUUCACAAUUAUCGGCGCGUACAUUCAGUCUGAUACGGAGAAGACGGAGGUUCAAAUCCUCCUGCGGGCA